AACGAACGCUGGCGGCAUGCCUAACACAUGCAAGUCGAACGAUUGCCUUCGGGUGAUAGUGGCGCACGGGUGCGUAACGCGUGGGAAUCUGCCCUUAGGUUCGGAAUAACAGCUGGAAACGGCUGCUAAUACCGGAUGAUAUCGCGAGAUCAAAGAUUUAUCGCCUGAGGAUGAGCCCGCGUUUGAUUAGGUAGUUGGUGGGGUAAAGGCCUACCAAGCCGACGAUCCAUAGCUGGUCUGAGAGGAUGAUCAGCCACACUGGGACUGAGACACGGCCCAGACUCCUACGGGAAGCAGCAGUGGGGAAUAUUGGACAAUGGGCGCAAGCCUGAUCCAGCAAUGCCGCGUGAGUGAUGAAGGCCCUAGGGUUGUAAAGCUCUUUUACCCGGGAAGAUAAUGACUGUACCGGGAGAAUAAGCCCCGGCUAACUCCGUG
Molecule: ribosomal RNA, 435 nt
Filed under: uncultured bacterium
Lineage: Bacteria
Description: partial 16S ribosomal RNA
Rfam family: Bacterial small subunit ribosomal RNA
Source: RNAcentral